GAGGAUAUAGCUCAAAUGGUAGAGUGUGUGCUUAGCAUGCGCGAGGUCCUGGGUUCAAUCCCCAGCACCUCCU
Molecule: transfer RNA, 73 nt
Filed under: Camelus bactrianus (Bactrian camel)
Lineage: Eukaryota; Metazoa; Chordata; Mammalia; Artiodactyla; Camelidae
Also listed under: 2 other names
Rfam family: tRNA
About the family: Transfer RNA (tRNA) molecules are approximately 80 nucleotides in length. Their secondary structure includes four short double-helical elements and three loops (D, anti-codon, and T loops).
Source: Rfam by way of RNAcentral